UACAGAGGGUGCGAGCGUUAAUCGGAAUUACUGGGCGUAAAGCGUGCGUAGACGGUUAUGUAAGUCGGAUGUGAAAGCCCCGGGCUCAACCUGGGAAUGGCAUUCGAGACUGCAUAGCUAGGAUGCGGAAGAGGGAAGUGGAAUUUCCGGUGUAGCGGUGAAAUGCGUAGAUAUCGGAAGGAACACCAGUGGCGAAAGCGACUUCCUGGUCCAGCAUCGACGUUCAGGCACGAAAGCGUGGGGAGCAAACAGG
RNAcentral lists this ribosomal RNA (253 nucleotides) under uncultured bacterium. Its description in RNAcentral is "partial 16S ribosomal RNA". It matches the Rfam family "Bacterial small subunit ribosomal RNA", at positions 524 to 776 of the family's 1533-position model. The record is from RNAcentral.